GAUGAACGCUGGCGGCGUGCCUAAUACAUGCAAGUCGAGCGAACGGACGAGAAGCUUGCUUCUCUGAUGUUAGCGGCGGACGGGUGAGUAACACGUGGAUAACCUACCUAUAAGACUGGGAUAACUUCGGGAAACCGGAGCUAAUACCGGAUAAUAUUUUGAACCGCAUGGUUCAAAAGUGAAAGACGGUCUUGCUGUCACUUAUAGAUGGACCCGCGCUGCAUUAGCUAGUUGGUAAGGUAACGGCUUACCAAGGCAACGAUGCAUAGCCGACCUGAGAGGGUGAUCGGCCACACUGGAACUGAGACACGGUCCAGACUCCUACGGGAGGCAGCAGUAGGGAAUCUUCCGCAAUGGGCGAAAGCCUGACGGAGCAACGCCGCGUGAGUGAUGAAGGUCUUCGGAUCGUAAAACUCUGUUAUUAGGGAAGAACAUAUGUGUAAGUAACUGUGCACAUCUUGACGGUACCUAAUCAGAAAGCCACGGCUAACUACGUGCCAGCAGCCGCGGUAAUACGUAGGUGGCAAGCGUUAUCCGGAAUUAUUGGGCGUAAAGCGCGCGUAGGCGGUUUUUUAGUCUGAUGUGAAAGCCCACGGCUCAACCGUGGAGGGUCAUUGGAAACUGGAAAACUUGAGUGCAGAAGAGGAAAGUGGAAUUCCAUGUGUAGCGGUGAAAUGCGCAGAGAUAUGGAGGAACACCAGUGGCGAAGGCGACUUUCUGGUCUGUAACUGACGCUGAUGUGCGAAAGCGUGGGGAUCAAACAGGAUUAGAUACCCUGGUAGUCCACGCCGUAAACGAUGAGUGCUAAGUGUUAGGGGGUUUCCGCCCCUUAGUGCUGCAGCUAACGCAUUAAGCACUCCGCCUGGGGAGUACGACCGCAAGGUUGAAACUCAAAGGAAUUGACGGGGACCCGCACAAGCGGUGGAGCAUGUGGUUUAAUUCGAAGCAACGCGAAGAACCUUACCAAAUCUUGACAUCCUUUGACAACUCUAGAGAUAGAGCCUUCCCCUUCGGGGGACAAAGUGACAGGUGGUGCAUGGUUGUCGUCAGCCCGUGUCGUGAGAUGUUGGGUUAAGUCCCGCAACGAGCGCAACCCUUAAGCUUAGUUGCCAUCAUUAAGUUGGGCACUCUAAGUUGACUGCCGGUGACAAACCGGAGGAAGGUGGGGAUGACGUCAAAUCAUCAUGCCCCUUAUGAUUUGGGCUACACACGUGCUACAAUGGACAAUACAAAGGGCAGCGAAACCGCGAGGUCAAGCAAAUCCCAUAAAGUUGUUCUCAGUUCGGAUUGUAGUCUGCAACUCGACUACGUGAAGCUGGAAUCGCUAGUAAUCGUAGAUCAGCAUGCUACGGUGAAUACGUUCCCGGGUCU
This 1371-nucleotide ribosomal RNA is filed under the name uncultured bacterium. RNAcentral describes it as "bacterial SSU rRNA". It matches the Rfam family "Bacterial small subunit ribosomal RNA", at positions 28 to 1381 of the family's 1533-position model. The record is from RNAcentral.